Molecule: small RNA, 38 nt
Filed under: Arabidopsis thaliana (thale cress)
Lineage: Eukaryota; Viridiplantae; Streptophyta; Magnoliopsida; Brassicales; Brassicaceae
Description: ATSL128450
Source: RNAcentral
UCGAAAGACGGGAAGUGGAACGAUCCUUAUGUCAAAAA